CAGCCGCCGCGGUAAUACGUAGGUGGCAAGCGUUGUCCGGAAUUAUUGGGCGUAAAGGGCUCGCAGGCGGUUUCUUAAGUCUGAUGUGAAAGCCCCCGGCUCAACCGGGGAGGGUCACUGGAAACUGGGAAACUUGAGUGCAGAAGAGGAGAGUGGAAUUCCACGUGUAGCGGUGAAAUGCGUAGAGAUGUGGAGGAACACCAGUGGCGAAGGCGACUCUCUGGUCUGUAACUGACGCUGAGGAGCGAAAGCGUGGGGAGCGAACAGGAUUAGAGACCCCGGUAGUCCCUGUCUCUUAUAC
Molecule: ribosomal RNA, 301 nt
Filed under: uncultured bacterium
Lineage: Bacteria
Description: partial 16S ribosomal RNA
Rfam family: Bacterial small subunit ribosomal RNA
Source: RNAcentral